AUUGAACGCUGGCGGCAUGCUUUACACAUGCAAGUCGAACGGUAACAGGCCUUCGGGUGCUGACGAGUGGCGAACGGGUGAGUAAUGCAUCGGAACGUACCCAGAGGUGGGGGAUAACGCAGCGAAAGCUGUGCUAAUACCGCAUGAGAUCUGAGGAUGAAAGCGGGGGACCGAGCAGCAAUGUUUGGCCUCGCGCCUUUGGAGCGGCCGAUGUCGGAUUAGCUAGUUGGUGGGGUAAAGGCCUACCAAGGCGACGAUCCGUAGCUGGUCUGAGAGGACGACCAGCCACACUGGGACUGAGACACGGCCCAGACUCCUACGGGGGGCAGCAGUGGGGAAUUUUGGACAAUGGGCGCAAGCCUGAUCCAGCAAUGCCGCGUGCGGGAAGAAGGCCUUCGGGUUGUAAACCGCUUUUGGCAGGAACGAAACGGUGUCCGCUAAUACCGGGCGCUAAUGACGGUACCUGCAGAAUAAGCACCGGCUAACUACGUG
RNAcentral lists this ribosomal RNA (492 nucleotides) under uncultured bacterium. RNAcentral describes it as "partial 16S ribosomal RNA". It matches the Rfam family "Bacterial small subunit ribosomal RNA", at positions 29 to 507 of the family's 1533-position model. The record is from RNAcentral.